Mustela putorius furo (domestic ferret) is the source of this 134-nucleotide small nucleolar RNA. The record is from Ensembl. NCBI's taxonomy places the organism in Eukaryota, Metazoa, Chordata, Mammalia, Carnivora, Mustelidae.
CUGCAUUCCUAAACCCUCUUGGUGGCCUCCCUGCGCACGCUUCCAGGAUAUGAGCGAAUGCUACAGAGACUGCAGGGAGUCCAAAGGGCUGCGCUCCUGCGGUGGCUCAGUCUUAUUUCAUACCUGCGACAUCU